RNAcentral lists this ribosomal RNA (803 nucleotides) under uncultured prokaryote. RNAcentral describes it as "bacterial SSU rRNA". It matches the Rfam family "Bacterial small subunit ribosomal RNA", at positions 685 to 1503 of the family's 1533-position model. The record is from RNAcentral.
AAUGCUUAGAUAUCACGAAGNACUCCAAUUGCGAAGGCAGCUUACUAGGCUACAACUGACGCUGAAGCACGAAAGCGUGGGGAUCAAACAGGAUUAGAUACCCUGGUAGNCCACGCCGUAAACGAUGAAUGCUAGCUGUNAGCGAUAUACUGUUAGCGGCACAGAGAAAUCGUUAAGCAUUCCACCUGGGGAGUACGCCGGCAACGGUGAAACUCAAAGGAAUUGACGGGGGCCCGCACAAGCGGAGGAACAUGUGGUUUAAUUCGAUGAUACGCGAGGAACCUUACCUGGGCUUAAAUUGCAGUGGAAUAACGUGGAAACAUGUUAGCCUUCGGGCCGCUGUGAAGGUGCUGCAUGGUUGUCGUCAGCUCGUGCCGUGAGGUGUCGGCUUAAGUGCCAUAACGAGCGCAACCCUCAUCGAUAGUUACUAACAGGUUAAGCUGAGGACUCUAUCGAGACUGCCGACGUAAGUCGUGAGGAAGGUGGGGAUGACGUCAAAUCAGCACGGCCCUUACGUCCAGGGCUACACACGUGUUACAAUGGGGGGUACAAAGGGCAGCUACCUGGCGACAGGAUGCUAAUCUCAAAAACCUCUCUCAGUUCGGAUUGGAGUCUGCAACCCGACUCCAUGAAGCUGGAUUCGCUAGUAAUCGCGCAUCAGCCACGGCGCGGUGAAUACGUUCCCGGGCCUUGUACACACCGUCCGUCAAGCCAUGGGAGCCGGGGGGACCUGAAGUAUGCAACCGUAAGGAGCGUCCUAGGGUAAAACUGGUGACUGGGGCUAAGUCGUAACAGGUAGCCGU